UGGGGAAUAUUGCACAAUGGGCGCAAGCCUGAUGCAGCCAUGCCGCGUGUGUGAAGAAGGCCUUCGGGUUGUAAAGCACUUUCAGCGAGGAGGAAGGUGGUGAGCUUAAUACGCUCAUCAAUUGACGUUACUCGCAGAAGAAGCACCGGCUAACUCCGUGCCAGCAGCCGCGGUAAUACGGAGGGUGCAAGCGUUAAUCGGAAUUACUGGGCGUAAAGCGCACGCAGGCGGUUUGUUAAGUCAGAUGUGAAAUCCCCGGGCUCAACCUGGGAACUGCAUUUGAAACUGGCAAGCUAGAGUCUCGUAGAGGGGGGUAGAAUUCCAGGUGUAGCGGUGAAAUGCGUAGAGAUCUGGAGGAAUACCGGUGGCGAAGGCGGCCCCCUGGACGAAGACUGACGCUCAGGUGCGAAAGCGUGGGGCAGCAAACAGGAUUAGAUACCCUGGUAGUCCACGCUGUAAAACGAUGUCGAUUUUGGAGGUUGUGCCCUUGAGGCGUGGCUUCCGGAGCUAACGCGUUAAAUCGACCGCCUGGGGAGUACGGCCGCAAGGUU
This 551-nucleotide ribosomal RNA is filed under the name uncultured bacterium. RNAcentral's name for it is "partial 16S ribosomal RNA". It matches the Rfam family "Bacterial small subunit ribosomal RNA", at positions 355 to 895 of the family's 1533-position model. The record is from RNAcentral.